UUUCCGUAGGUGAACCUGCGGAAGGAUCAUUAACAAAAAAUAAAAUCCACCUUAGGAAAAACCCAGAGAAGAAAUUCAAAGGGUCUUUCCUUAAGCAAACAGUGAACUUUGUUAAAGUUUCUGACAAGAUAUACCAAUCUAAAUUUAUUUAGAAAGGUAUUUUCUUUUUAAAAACAAACUUGUUUAAUUUAUUUUGUCUUAUCCUUCUUAAACUAAAUUGGUUUUAGGACCUUUUUGGAAAGAAUAUUUAAAUCAAAAGUAACAACUUUUAACAACGGAUAUCUUGGCUCUU
This 292-nucleotide unclassified non-coding RNA is filed under the name plant metagenome. Its description in RNAcentral is "partial contains small subunit ribosomal RNA, internal transcribed spacer 1, and 5.8S ribosomal RNA". The record is from RNAcentral.